GUCAAAAAAAGGAAACAGGGGACAAAUAGAAAAAAAUUAGGUGGGAAUUUUAAACUCAUUUACUAGUGAUUAAAUUAAUAUUUAGUAAAGCAACUACUCCAGGGCUUUCCAGGUGGCUCAGUUGUAAAGAAUUUGCCUGGCAGUGUGGGAGACUCAGGAGAUGUGAACUUGAUCCCUGGGUCUGUGAGAUCUCCUGGAGGAGGAAAUGGCAACCCACUCCAGUAUUCUUGACUUGGAAACCCCAUGGACGGAGGAGCCUGGUGGGCUACAGUCCAUGGGGUCACAAAGAAUAGGACAUGACUGAGCUACUGAGCACGCAUGCAAACCAAAUACUCCAAGUAAAAGAUAAAUAUUGUUAGACUGCAAUUUUAAAAUUUUAUUUCUAUUAUUCACUUAAUUCUCACAAUUCUCUAUUUAUAUCUAUUUUAUGAGUGAAAAAAUGGAGACUUCAGGGAGUAAAGAAACUUGCCAAAAUGACACAGCUGAAAAACAGCAAAGUCAAGAUAAGAGCCCCAGUUGUCCAACCCAACAUCCUUCCUUGUGGUAUUUAGUACAACUCAGCAAAGAGAAGGUCCUGUCAAGCUUGGCAAGAGCUGUGUCCAUGCGAUUUCAGGGUCAGAGCCGGACUGCAGCUGGCGUGGUGAAUGAUAAAAUUAAAAGUAGACAUCACCAUCUAAAUUCAUCAGCAGAAUGCACCGGAACACCAGGAAGGGGAUACGGGAGGAAGUCUCAGGGGCUCUGUAGUUUUGAAGCAGCCCAUCUACACCAUCCAGUGCUACACUGAGAACGCCAGCAGGAACAUCCAGACCCUCCCUCCUGUAGAUACCCCAGUUCUCCAAAAUCUGUGUGAUGCCCUGUGGCCACUGGAUAAACCAAUUCCCAAGACUUAUGAUACUUGUGCACUUUUAGUAGCACUAUUAGGGGAGGAGCUAACAGACAACUCAUGACUCUGAGAUCAUCAGAAAACCACUCCUCCAAACAACAAGACAGGUAAAUUUUAGCAGCCUUUACCAAAGCCCUAAUGCAAUUUUUGAGCUGGAAUCAAAUCAUGUGGAAAACUCCAGGACCCUUGCAAGAUGUGAUGAAACCAACUUAUGUGUUGUUUAAUUUCCCAUUCAAUAUGCUGUUCUGUUUUUUGAGUCAUAUAACUUUGUGAAGCAAUUAUGGCUAACACACAGACUCAGGCAGGAGGCGGGAGGCAGUGAGCUGGGUAAAAAGGACUUCGCAUGGGUGGAGAAGUCGGGGGUAUGGGACUCAAGUUGGAGGAAUCUCUAGGGAGAGGUCUUAGAUCAGGAGCUAGUGACUGAAACUGUAUUAAUAGCUUUUGAAAACAACUAUUUGUGUGUGAAGUGAUAAAUAGAAGUGGCUAUUUUCUGGACCACAUUUCAUAUUAUCUCAUUAUGAAACAAUAUCACAGGUAUCACAUCACCCCAUUGCCUCUUUGACAGGUGACCACCUUGUACAAUGUCAACAUGCUAUAGAGUAAAAUAAUAAUUACACUGAGUGCUCACUGGUGCCUGGUGUGUUUGAUUGAAAAGCUUUGUAAUAUUAACUCAUUUAAACUUCUCAACAAUCCCCUGAUACGGUUACUAUUAUCCUCCUUUACGGGCUUCCUAGAUGGCGCUAGUGGUAAAGAACCUGCCUGCCAAUGCAGGAGGCAUAAGAGACACAGGUUCGUCUACUGGGUUGGAAAGAUCCCCUGGAGAAGCAAAUGGCAAGCUACUCCAGUAUUCUUGCCUGGAAAAUCCCAUGGACGGAGGAGUCUGGUGGGCUACAAGCCAUAG
Bos indicus x Bos taurus (hybrid cattle) is the source of this 1784-nucleotide long non-coding RNA. The record is from Ensembl. Lineage: Eukaryota; Metazoa; Chordata; Mammalia; Artiodactyla; Bovidae.